This 91-nucleotide transfer RNA is filed under the name Lawsonibacter sp. RNAcentral describes it as "tRNA-Ser". It matches the Rfam family "tRNA". From Rfam's summary of the family: Transfer RNA (tRNA) molecules are approximately 80 nucleotides in length. The record is from RNAcentral. Lineage: Bacteria; Bacillati; Bacillota; Clostridia; Eubacteriales; Oscillospiraceae.
UGCAGAAGUACCCAAGUGGCUAUAAGGGGCUCCCCUGCUAAGGGAGUAGACGGCUUAAACCCGUGCGAGGGUUCGAAUCCCUCCUUCUUAA